Molecule: transfer RNA, 82 nt
Filed under: Sphingobacteriia bacterium
Lineage: Bacteria; Pseudomonadati; Bacteroidota; Sphingobacteriia
Description: tRNA-Ser
Rfam family: tRNA
About the family: Transfer RNA (tRNA) molecules are approximately 80 nucleotides in length.
Source: RNAcentral
GGGAUGGCCGAGCGGUCGAUGGCAGCGACGUGAAACAUCGCAGGCGGUAAAACGCCCGGGGGUUCGAAUCCCUCUCCCACCA